RNAcentral lists this ribosomal RNA (253 nucleotides) under uncultured bacterium. RNAcentral describes it as "partial 16S ribosomal RNA". It matches the Rfam family "Bacterial small subunit ribosomal RNA", at positions 524 to 776 of the family's 1533-position model. The record is from RNAcentral.
UACGUAGGCAGCAAGCGUUGUUCGGAUUUACUGGGCGUAAAGGGUGUGUAGGCGGUUGGAUAAGUGUGGUGUGAAAUCUCCCGGCUUAACUGGGAGGGUGCGCUACAAACUGUCUGACUAGAGUAUGGGAUGGGAGAGUGGAAUUCCUGGUGUAGCGGUGAAAUGCGUAGAUAUCAGGAGGAACACCGGUGGUGUAGACGGCUCUCUGGACCAUUACUGACGCUGAGACACGAAAGCGUGGGUAGCAAACAGG